AGAGUUUGAUCAUGGCUCAGGAUGAACGCUGGCGGCGUGCUUAACACAUGCAAGUCGAACGAUGAAGCCCAGCUUGCUGGGUGGAUUAGUGGCGAACGGGUGAGUAACACGUGAGCAACCUGCCCCUGACUCUGGGAUAAGCGCUGGAAACGGCGUCUAAUACUGGAUAUGUCCCAUCACCGCAUGGUGUGUGGGUGGAAAGAUUUUUCGGUUGGGGAUGGGCUCGCGGCCUAUCAGCUUGUUGGUGAGGUAAUGGCUCACCAAGGCGUCGACGGGUAGCCGGCCUGAGAGGGUGACCGGCCACACUGGGACUGAGACACGGCCCAGACUCCUACGGGAGGCAGCAGUGGGGAAUAUUGCACAAUGGGCGCAAGCCUGAUGCAGCAACGCCGCGUGAGGGAUGACGGCCUUCGGGUUGUAAACCUCUUUUAGCAGGGAAGAAGCGAAAGUGACGGUACCUGCAGAAAAAGCACCGGCUAACUACGUGCCAGCAGCCGCGGUAAUACGUAGGGUGCAAGCGUUAUCCGGAAUUAUUGGGCGUAAAGAGCUCGUAGGCGGUUUGUCGCGUCUGCUGUGAAAUUCCGAGGCUCAACCUCGGGCUUGCAGUGGGUACGGGCAGACUAGAGUGCGGUAGGGGAGAUUGGAAUUCCUGGUGUAGCGGUGGAAUGCGCAGAUAUCAGGAGGAACACCGAUGGCGAAGGCAGAUCUCUGGGCCGUAACUGACGCUGAGGAGCGAAAGGGUGGGGAGCAAACAGGCUUAGAUACCCUGGUAGUCCACCC
This 780-nucleotide ribosomal RNA is filed under the name Microbacterium sp. Its description in RNAcentral is "bacterial SSU rRNA". It matches the Rfam family "Bacterial small subunit ribosomal RNA", at positions 8 to 800 of the family's 1533-position model. The record is from RNAcentral. Lineage: Bacteria; Bacillati; Actinomycetota; Actinomycetes; Micrococcales; Microbacteriaceae.